Molecule: ribosomal RNA, 492 nt
Filed under: uncultured bacterium
Lineage: Bacteria
Description: partial 16S ribosomal RNA
Rfam family: Bacterial small subunit ribosomal RNA
Source: RNAcentral
AGUGAACGCUGGCGGUAGGCCUAACACAUGCAAGUCGAACGGCAGCACAGUAAGAGCUUGCUCUUACGGGUGGCGAGUGGCGGACGGGUGAGGAAUACAUCGGAAUCUACUUUUUCGUGGGGGAUAACGUAGGGAAACUUACGAUAAUACCGCAUACGACCUACGGGUGAAAGCAGGGGAUCUUCGGACCUUGCGCGAUUGAAUGAGCCGAUGUCGGAUUAGCUAGUUGGCGGGGUAAAGGCCCACCAAGGCGACGAUCCGUAGCUGGUCUGAGAGGAUGAUCAGCCACACUGGAACUGAGACACGGUCCAGACUCCUACGGGAGGCAGCAGUGGGGAAUAUUGGACAAUGGGCGCAAGCCUGAUCCAGCCAUACUGCGUGGGUGAAGAAGGCCUUCGGGUUGUAAAGCCCUUUUGUUGGGAAAGAAAAGCAGCAGGUUAAUACCCCGCUGUUCUGACGGUACCCAAAGAAUAAGCACCGGCUAACUUCGUG